This 294-nucleotide signal recognition particle RNA is filed under the name Aotus nancymaae (Ma's night monkey). RNAcentral describes it as "Metazoan signal recognition particle RNA (ENSANAG00000002205.1)". It matches the Rfam family "Metazoan signal recognition particle RNA". From Rfam's summary of the family: The signal recognition particle (SRP) is a universally conserved ribonucleoprotein. It is involved in the co-translational targeting of proteins to membranes. Lineage: Eukaryota; Metazoa; Chordata; Mammalia; Primates; Aotidae. The record is from RNAcentral.
GCCAGGUGUGGUGGCAUGCACCUGUAGUCCCAACUACUUGGGAGGCUGAGGCAGGAGGAUUGCUUGAAUUCAGAAGUUCUGAGCUGUACUGUGCUAUGCUUAUCAGGCAUCCACACUAAGUUCAGCAUCAAUAUAGUGACCUCCUGGGAACAGGGACCCACCAGGUAACCUAAGGAGGGCUGAACUGUCCCACGUCAGAAAUAAAGUGAAACUCCCAUGCUGAUCAGUAGUGGGAUCGUGCCUGUGAAUAGCCACUGCACUCCAGCGAGGGCAGCAGAGUGAGACCUCAUCUCU